AAAGAUACUACUUAUAAAAAAGGAAUUGGAACGAUACAGAGGAGAUUAGCAUGGCCCCUGUGCAAGGAUGACAUGCAAAUUUGUGAAGCGUUCCAUAUUUUU
This is a small nuclear RNA of Cebus imitator (Panamanian white-faced capuchin), 102 nucleotides long. NCBI's taxonomy places the organism in Eukaryota, Metazoa, Chordata, Mammalia, Primates, Cebidae. The record is from RefSeq and is a predicted model, not a curated record.